Non-coding RNA from Ascaris suum (pig roundworm), 46 nucleotides. Lineage: Eukaryota; Metazoa; Nematoda; Chromadorea; Rhabditida; Ascarididae. The record is from Rfam.
CCAACGGCCCUCAUUAGGGCCACAAACGAAUAAAUCAAGUACUACU